AGGGAUCAAUGGGCAUGAGGCUGGUUUGAAUAGGUGGAGCAAUGUGGAAGGAGAGCAACGGUGAAAAUCGGCAUCAUCAUGCAACAGUACUACCAUGUUUGGGGGUGCAAGGAAAGAAACGUGCUAAGGAUCUUCAGCAUUCACGAAGGCGAGACAGACAAGAAUCUAAGCGUAAGCAGGUUCAAAUGAACAGAAAGGGCGCGGACAUUCCGACUGCGCAGUCAAAGAGAAAGUACGUGUUUCCGACCAGCACCUGAACGCACCAUCAUUCCUGGACGCACCGUAAUUUUGUCGGGAGACUCCGAGCGUCGCUGUCACCGCUUCAGUCCGCCCACUGGAGAAAGCUCUACCCUAGCCGCAGACGAGCUGCUCGCCCACGUGGAGCCUCGGAGCCAAUCGUUGCCUUGGAAUAUGAUUGACCUCUUUUGUAGCCAAUCAACGUAAUAGUUUUGUGCGCAUGACAAGUCGAUGGGCCAAUCGCGGCUCCCAAAUGUUCAGCAGAUUCGUUGUCGUCACCAAAGGGACUUUUGACAGACACAUGGUGCUUUCAAUGGAAAAGUUCGACUCCUUUUACGGUCGGGCAGAACCAAUCGCCGGAAUACGGGCAACCGGGCAAGGCCCUUCGGACUGGAAGACGCCCCGAGGCGUCAGUUUGGCUCGCUGCAAAUGUCACUGCGACUAAAGAGUGAAGGCACAAUCCCAUUUUGAAUGCGUCCACCUAUUGUAUUUUAACGUGCUGUCCUCUUGUGGAUAUAAAUAAAUAAAACGAGUCGAGGAGGGGAUUAGCAGAAGAGGAGGCUCCUAUUUCUCAAAUGACACGUUGAACUCUAGUGACACCUUGUGAUCGAAUUGGCAAGGACUAGUUGAUGGCAAAAAGGUAUCUUGACGUGUGACCUCAUUAAUUCUUUCUAGGUAAUCAGUCAAUGACGUCACCGUGUAGUCAGCCCCGCAUGAGGAAGCGCUUCUAUUUCUGUUUCAGGCAAACCCGGACCUUCAAAGGAGAUCUAACCACCUUUUAAAAACACCAUGAGUACCCAGCAAUUUAGUGAUCGCUAGUAAAAAAAAGAUAAAUAAGCAACACUGGGUUAAGAAAAUUUGUCUCCAAUGUAUGACAGUAUGCAUACAGUAAGUAUAUGCAGAAAUAUUUAAUUACAGCAAAUCUACAAUGCAAGAGUCAGAAAGAAGACGUGUAGACCAGUUUUGAUGUCACAUUGCCUGCUCUCAAUUUGCAGUCAAGUAGUCAACAAGGCUGCAGACAUGCUGCUCUUUUCAUGAGUCACUUGAGGUAUUUUUACACAGCAAAAGUCAGCUCAAUUAUUGCACACGUGUCAAUUUGCUUUCAAAGAUGUUUAUUGAAAUAAAUAUUUUUGAAAUUUUUAUAAACUUCAACCAUUGAUAAUGCUAUCACACAGUCAGAGCCUGGAGUUGCACCAUUUUCCUCUCGAGUCAAUAUGAUAUGAAAUAAGAAGAAUGAACUUUGCAUUUCACCGUAAGUGAAUCAGUAAUUGAAUUAUUUGUCGGGACUGUUAUUAGAUAUUGAUCACAAAGUAUUUUUUUUUCCUGAACAUCACACACUUCGUUAAUUUCCAAGCCAUAAUUCUUUCACCUUCCUUUCACCCUCACUCGGGUUCAAGCUGGGUUUGGAAUAAUUAAGGUGCACUUGAUUUAGCUUGCUAUUAGCAGGCUUCCUAAAUGAAGUGCUCCUCAAACUUGGGAGACUGUUCUGUGCAGGAGUGACGUGUACUGAACUCUAUGUAUAAAUGAGUCUCCCAUAAUUCGGAAGAUUUCCGUGAUCAACUCGACGUAACAGUUUGCAAGCAGACAGCAGCAGUCAGCUGUUUUGCACAUCAAAUCCUCUCACUUCUGCAAGAUUUUGAGUGCAACAUGCAGGUAAAAAUGUGCACAAUUUGAAAAGUCUAACUUGGUCAUCGUCAAUCUUACCCACGUUUCUUUUUUUUUCCCCUCUCAAUAGGGCACGUUUUCUCAUAAGAAAAUUAGAGCAGACUUUAUUCACAAUACCCUCUAUAGUAUUCUGCAUUUCAAAGCAUGCCAAAGAAAUGUUUCAGUUUCUGCAUAGUGCUGGCUAUACGAGUGCCAAGGUUUUUGAUACCUUUACAAGAAGUACAAGUUGGUAUGUACAGACAAAGAGCGACGUGAGUAGAUCCAGUAUUGUGUAAACCUCAAGUGCUCAAAAUAUCUACAAAUGUAAGUCCGGUGGAACUCAUAUAGAAAGUUGAAUAGAGCUGAAAAAUGCUCAAAAGUAUGGAAGAGCUAGCAAGCGAGUGUGCGUCUGUAAGAGUGCAGGAGCUAAUUUAAGUGUUUUUUUUUUGUUUUUUUUUUACCAUUUGUUUUUAAAGACUCUUUCUUUUAAACACACCUUCCCUAUUCAUGCAGUACCACUUCCGACUCUGGUGCAAAUUCCUUGCCUUCUUUUUUCAGUGUACCCAUAGUGGUUUAAGAUGCAGUAUGCAUUACAUAAAUCUGUAUUCUCUAGCAUUGAAUAUUAUGUUUGGGUCUACUGACACUUACUAGGUCAAAUAAGAUACAACCACAUUCUACAUUUGAGGUCAUCGUUCUGAAUGUAAAGUAACAAGUUCAGGCCACUAGGUGACUUAUUGUACUCAAACAAACAAACAAGCAAAAAAAAAAAAAACAAAAACACUCGCUACAGUACAUGAGAUGUCAAGGAGAGCCAAACUAACAGGGGAAAAAAGUGUACAGUAAACACUGGCUUCUUGCUGGAUAUAUGAAGUCAGUCGUCUUUAGUUAACAGGCCUCACUGACACACAACACAUCCUGUACAUAGAAAUGAUUUUGAAUACAAUUAAACAUGUAUGUGCUUCUUUUGGAUGUUUGUAGACCGAUUGCACACAAGAAAAGGAAAAGCAGCAUCAAGGGUUGGUGUCCCGGAAGCAAUAUUAGGCAUGGUUUAAAAAUAAAAUAAAAUAAAAAAUUGAGUGAACUCCAAAUUUGCAUGUAAGCAGACUCUGAUAGCAUUUUAAGUUGUGCAAUUAAACAAAUAUUUUAGGUUUUGCUAAUGUGAAGAGUUUACAGAACUCGUUGUCCUUUGAAUUGUUCCCCACCCCCCACAAUUUAAAGAUAUAAGUAAAACAAUUUCAAUAAUGUACUGUAUAUUUUAACGUUUUUCAACUUAAAUUACUGUUUUAGCCCCUUUAAUAAUGUUAACCGGGGUAAGUAUGUGGUGUUGAUAGGCUAAAUAACAAGGCCAUAAUGUAGCCAAACAUUGUACUGUACUUUCUAAUAAUGUAAUUUCCAAUAUUUUCAUCUUAACAGUAUUUUAAAGCAACACUGCCACCUAGCGUACAUCGAGAGAACAUAAAGUACCUCCGGACACCCGUUUCACGAACGAUCAAUCCAGUCGGUUUAAGAAAGUUGGCUGUGUUGUAUGUCUUUUGUGUUUUAUGGACGACGCGUUUCUCUCGUGAAGUGACAGAAGCUUUGUAGUGAGCACCCCAAAAUCCCUCGUACUUGGGUGAUCAUACGAAUAUUUUCAGAGGUUGAUUGGAGCAUUAAGUAAAGAUGUUAACUUCAAUUUUGGUGACCAUCAAUGGCAGUUUUGGCACAGAAGGCGAAGUUUAGAUCCCUACAUUCCGGAUUUGGACUGUCAUGUUGAGGAAGCUCUUUAAAAGGACGAGGACGGAAAGGGACGGAGGACGAUUACUAUAUGAAUAAGGACGGAGGGACGAUAACGGAAGGGUACCCAGGUCACGGACGGAUUGGCAAAAUAGGGUAAAGUGCCCAUCUCUGAGAGAUAAUAUUAUUAUUAUUACUAUCAUAAAAAUAGGUUCACUCCAAUCACCAGUUCGGAGGAACACGUGUAUGACAGCUCACGCUACACUGCCAAGCCUUCAUUGAAUGUUCAAGCGAGAUUUUGGUUUCCACUGCCCGUCCUUCAAAAGUUUUGAGUCGCACAUGACGUGAGGCAAAAAUAUCAUCAACCCUCGUUUUGUUUCACCACCCACUUGCUUUGGUUCAAUACUAAAGUGCAACUUCACUGAGCGUUACAGCCACAUUUUGCAGUUACUGACGCUAACGAGGACAGACUGGGAAUAAAGUUAUUCAUUAAAAGUUAUUAUUAAGAAUACAGUAAUUAAUCACUGAAUUAAAAUGAUCAACCCCUUUCCGUAUCCUAAAAAUUUGGACUUGCCUGAGUGUCAAUUAGACUCUUGGACAACACUGAACAAAAAUCAAACACGAACAUCUGGAAGAAACAUGAUUAGACAUUUACAAAUCAUACAAUAAUUCACAGACAAAAUGAUAGUAAUAAUAAUAAUCAUAAUAAUAAUAAUAACUAGACACACAAAUAAAUAAAUAAAUUAGCUUCGACCAGCAAGCAGCAGGAUACAAUCUUUGAAAUGCUGCCUUAAAGGGGAAAUACACCAGAAUUAAAGUUCAAGGUUGUGACUCUGCAAAUGUUGACUCUAUUUUCUUUCAUUGUUUAUCAGACAAAUUAAAAAAAAAAAAAAAGGAACCAAAGGACACAUUCCUGAGUCUCGAUUAAAGAUUUGCACUGGUUAAAAUAUAAAGUGCUAAAACGUGAAUCGAAGUGUUGCGGCUGCUACAAAUCACUUUAAAGGACUAUUGCACUCAGUUUACGUCGUGCACAAAAUUUCAGGGAAGACAAGUGGAAAAGUGGGAUGGAGGAGGGCUUCUUAAUCUUUUUUAAUUAUUCUUAUUCUUGUGAAUUGAUGCUAAUAGGUGUAUAACUUCAAUGUCACGAUUAGAUACUGUAUGUACGACUGUUGUUUGUGUCCUGGAGGGAAAAAUCAUUUGACACUCAACUGCAGUCAGGGAGCAAAAAAUUUCUUGCUGGCAAAAAAA
Molecule: long non-coding RNA, 4842 nt
Organism: Hippocampus comes (tiger tail seahorse)
Lineage: Eukaryota; Metazoa; Chordata; Actinopteri; Syngnathiformes; Syngnathidae
Exons: 3
Source: RefSeq, a predicted model, not a curated record